Lotus japonicus is the source of this 661-nucleotide long non-coding RNA. RefSeq lists it as uncharacterized. The transcript is spliced from 2 exons. The record is from RefSeq and is a predicted model, not a curated record. Lineage: Eukaryota; Viridiplantae; Streptophyta; Magnoliopsida; Fabales; Fabaceae.
UCUUCUCCUUCACUAAAUUUUUCCUUUUAAAAAAAACAAUAUUAAAAGGCCAAAAUACUGAAAAACUAUUUUCCAAUCGCGACUGAAUUAGGUUUUUGGUUCCGAACCCACCUGGGCGACCGAAGCGUGAAGGUUUGUGCCACUGCUGCUCGUGAUGGUUCGAGAUACUCAAGAGCGUAUAACCCUUCAGAUUGCACAACAAAAAAUUACAAUAAUCCAGUUUCUUAGUAGAAGAAUGCAAAACAAUCACUGGAGUGCCGAAAUGCUUUGCCAGAAAAGAGAAUGCUGACAUGCUGUCACAAGUCACAACUCAAGUGGAAUUUCCGGAAUCCAUAACUUUCGUAACCAUGUUCCUUAACAUAGGAAGAAGUUGCCUUGCCUUCACCUUUGUCUUAGCAUGAAAAUGGGCAUGAAUUCGAUCCCAAAGUUGAUACGAAUGCUUACAGCAGUCGUCUUUGUGAGAACCAAAGUUGUAAACGUUGAUUGCAGCCAUGGUGGAAGAAAAGCAUCUUGCUUCUCCCAAGACAAAUAUGCGUGUUGGUAGUUUCAUUUUCUCUGUCACCCUUUCAAAGGGGAAUUUACCUGUAAUCAAUGAACUAACUAGAAAAUUUCUGUCAGCUUCAAAGAGAAAUUUACCUGGAAUUGAUGGACUAACUAGAAA